Grammomys surdaster is the source of this 133-nucleotide small nucleolar RNA. RefSeq annotates it as small nucleolar RNA SNORA17. The transcript has a single exon. The record is from RefSeq and is a predicted model, not a curated record. Lineage: Eukaryota; Metazoa; Chordata; Mammalia; Rodentia; Muridae.
CCUGCCCCUUAGAGGCAUUGCAGGCGUGGCUGCUUUGUCACAUGUGUGUCAGUAAGUGGCAGAGAGGAGAGAGCCAGUGUCUAAGCUCAGUGUUCUGACCUGUGAACAUCUGAAUGGUUAGCACCCUAACAUU